UGUAGAUCAGGGUGGCCUGCUUCUGCCUCCCAAGCGCUGGGAUUAAAGGUGUGCACCACUACUGCUCUGCUGAAAAGAUAGUUAACUCCAGUCUGAACAACAGUUUCAAAUUAAAUUAGUUUGAUUUGAAUUAAUUUUCUUGUAAGUCUGCUCAGUUUUCAUUUCCAAGGGAAAGUCUUUUUAGUAAGUGUAGACUACUGAAGUGGCGAUACACAGCCUAUGACUUAGUGUUCAUUAAAGCCAAUUUCAACUACUUCUAUUAAUUAAAAUAUAUUGAAUACCAUAUAACUAAAUGGACUCAGUGGGUGCUAACUUUGAUUAGUAUCUUGAGGCUGAAUAUGACUAUAUUAUAUAUAUAUAUAUAUAUUGUGUGUGUUGUCAUUGUGAAAGAGACUGCAGAGAGGAUAAAUGUGUAUAUAUUAUAUUGCCUUAAACGAUUACUUGGACACCAGUCAUUAUUUCAAUGUUGCUAUGAUUUUUUAAAGUUAUAGGGUAGUGUCCCUUUGACAUUGUUACAGUAUCUGGAAACCGUGUGUGUGUGUAUUUUCUUUUGAGCUUAGGUUUUUUGUUUUUUGUUUUUAAUCUUACGUCUUCACCAUUUGAGGGAGUUAGUGAUGAAAUUUGUUGAUUACCCUACUUGAAUAAAAAUGAAGAUUGAGAAGCUGGAGGUAGCCCAGUGGCAGAGUACAUGUUAAUAAUGCGUGAAGCCCUGAAUUCAAUCCCCAUCACCAAAAAGAAAAAGAAGAAUGAAGACCUAUUUCCCCAAUAUAAUAUAUAUUAACUGAUGCUGACUAUGUGGGACACAAAUUAUUGUAUGGUGGGUUUAGAUUUAAGAACCUCAAAUGUUAGGAAAUUAACUAUUGUUUCUUUUUGUUCCUUUGAGGUUUUAUACUUUUGUAUCGGUGAAGAUGAUUGAUAUUUUAUUAAGAUAAUCAGUCUGCUAAUCCUAUGUGAAAAUAUCAUUUCUACUUACUAUCUUUUCUAGGGUUGCUGAAUUGCCUAAGCGGCUAAGAAAGUAAUUAUAGUUCUUACAAUUCAAAUCAGAAAUAGGGUAUCUGUUUAGAGUUACUUUUCCCUUACUUGCUAGCUGUUUAAUAUCUGGAGAAGUAGCAAAAUUUAUAGCCCAUUUUUUUAAAUGAAAAUGAGAUAAAAAUUUCAUGAGAAUUUAAUUAAAAGUUAAAAUUGCCUGUAAGGAUUGUCUAGUAAUUGAGAUGUAAAGGUUAUCACAUUUAAAUACUUACACUCCCUUUUAGGGCAACCAAAAUUUCCAGCACACUUUACACAUUGAAUGCAUUAUUGAUUGAACAUUAAAGCAUCUAAGAGGUACUUGAGUGUCCUAGCGAAUUAUCACUGAAUUGCAGUAGCCAAUGUAAAGCAAAUUUUGUUAGAUUUAGGCAAACUACUAUCAGGCUCUGAGGAAAUUAAAUGCACAUUGACUUUAUAGUAUGGGUUGAACUCCUCAGUUUAAUACAAUUUGUGUUUUUGUUAACUAGCAGCAGAAUUUCAGCAUUUGCUACUUACUGGUAGAGAAGAAAAAUCCCACAGCCCUGCCAGUACAGUUUAAUCUAAGAAUGGCGUAGAUACAAUGGAAAUGGUUUUCCGUAUCUGUUUAGAGCUGCCUUUCUGGUGAGUACUGCUUUAUAAUUUUCAUAUCAUGGUUUGAUUUUUUUUUUUUUUUAGCCUAGCUGUAAUGUAAUGUGGCAGUGAUCAAAGAGGUGAGAAGCCAGAAUUUUCACAGCUUGGGUAGUAAUUAGAUCUUUAGGCUGUUACUUCUUCAUAAGGGUUUUUUCUCUCUCUCACACACAUAUACACGUUUUCCUAAAGGACCCUAUGCACGAAAAAGUUGAAAACAUAUUCUUUUGGUGAGAAGAAAUGAUUGUAUUAUUUAAAAUUAGUAAUUGAAAUCUAGGGACAGGAGAGAUGCCUCAACAAUUAAGACCAUGUCAUAACCUCAGGUGUGGUGUAUGCCUUUAAUCCUAGCACUCAAGAGGGACAGGCAAGUGGAUUUCUGGGAGUUCCAGGAAGCAUGGUCUACAUAGUGAGUUCAAGGAUAGCAAGGGCUAUAUAGAAAAAUCUUGUCUCAAAAAGAAAAAAGAAGAAAACCACAACAUGCUGCGAGUGUACUUAUGUUUGGUUCCCAUUAUCCAUGUCAGGUAACUAAAACCAUGUAGGUCCAUGAGGAUCUUGGACAUAAUGUGCUCAUAUGCAGAUACACAUAUGAAUAAGAAAUACAGUUUUAAAUAAAGAUUCCCCACCCUCUUUUAAGUUGACAUAAAACUUGUUCAGUGAUCCUUUUUUCUCACUGCAUAGGUGAAUGAAAUAAUGAAGGCAUAUUCUGUUCCAUGCAUGGAAAACUUGUGUAAAAAAUAUUGUUAGCAUCUUUGUGAAAAUUAGCCCACAAUACGUUUAUUCCUGUCUAGUUCAGUCAUUAGCCUGUGACAUAAGGAUUUCUUUCCCUCAUUUUUAGCCACAUUCUGGAUAAUACUAGUAUUCAUGUCUACAUUCCAUUUCUGCUAUGACCUUUGUGAAUCAAUAAAGUCAAUUCUGUUGGUUUUAGUAUAAAUAAUACUAGUUUUCUAAAAUCUGGAAUUCAUAAUUUGAGUGUGUAUGGUAAUUUAUUCUAGAUAAGAUCUCAACAAAUCUUGAGUCUGAAUUUGUGUCUUUAAGAUUUAAAGUGAAAUAAAUUUCUAAGGAACUCUGUCCUUUCCUAGCAUGGAUAAGCAGACUGACAGUUGGUAAGUAUGUAAUUUCAAAUGCAUAUAGUGGUAAGGGUGAGUUGCCUUCAAAGACAAUUCGAAGUGAAGUGAAAUUCCUGAAUCCUUCUAGGAACUUGAUAUGUAUGUCUAACAUUUUCUCCAAAAAUGUGUACUCAAAAUGAUUAAACUGAAAUGUACCUUA
This is a long non-coding RNA of Microtus ochrogaster (prairie vole), 2898 nucleotides long. RefSeq lists it as uncharacterized. The transcript is spliced from 2 exons. The record is from RefSeq and is a predicted model, not a curated record. Lineage: Eukaryota; Metazoa; Chordata; Mammalia; Rodentia; Cricetidae.